GAUGAACGCUAGCUACAGGCUUAACACAUGCAAGUCGCGGGGCAGCAUGGGGGUUGCUUGCAACUCCCGAUGGCGACCGGCGCACGGGUGAGUAACGCGUAUCCAACCUGCCCUUCACCACGGGAUAACCCGGCGAAAGUCGGACUAAUACCGUAUGUUGUCCAUUGACGGCAUCCGAUUUGGACGAAAGUCUUUGCGGUGAAGGAUGGGGAUGCGUCCGAUUAGCCAGACGGCGGGGUAACGGCCCACCGUGGCUACGAUCGGUAGGGGUUCUGAGAGGAAGGUCCCCCACACUGGAACUGAGACACGGUCCAGACUCCUACGGGAGGCAGCAGUGAGGAAUAUUGGUCAAUGGGCGUAAGCCUGAACCAGCCAAGUAGCGUGCAGGAUGACGGCCCUAUGGGUGGUAAACUGCUUUUAUGCGGGGAUAAAGUGGCCCACGUGUGGGCUUUUGCAGGUACCGAAUGAAUAAGGACCGGCUAAUUCCGUG
This 490-nucleotide ribosomal RNA is filed under the name uncultured bacterium. Its description in RNAcentral is "partial 16S ribosomal RNA". It matches the Rfam family "Bacterial small subunit ribosomal RNA", at positions 28 to 507 of the family's 1533-position model. The record is from RNAcentral.